UCUGAUUUUUAUAUAUUGGUUGGCAUAAGAGGCUGAUCUUCUCGUAAGUAUUUUAUCAAACACCAGGUGUGCAUAGAGUCAACAACAAAAAAUAUUCAAACUGCAACGUAAAAGAAAAAUUGAAAGGAGUGUUUACAAGAAUGAACGUCAAUGGAAUUUUUAUUUCCUUCGGUAUGCCUCUCUACUUUACAAAAAGCUUUUUGCCCCAGAGAUAAUGGGCUUUACCUCUCAAAGCUUAGGGAGCGAACGUAUUUCUCUU
RNAcentral lists this long non-coding RNA (259 nucleotides) under Nicotiana benthamiana. RNAcentral's name for it is "long non-coding RNA (NBEN_LNC002285)". The record is from RNAcentral. Lineage: Eukaryota; Viridiplantae; Streptophyta; Magnoliopsida; Solanales; Solanaceae.